UUGAAUUGAAGAGUUUGAUCAUGGCUCAGAUUGAACGCUGGCGGCAGGCUUAACACAUGCAAGUCGAACGGUAGCAGGAGAAAGCUUGCUUUCUUGCUGACGAGUGGCGGACGGGUGAGUAAUGCUUGGGAAUCUGGCUUAUGGAGGGGGAUAACGACGGGAAACUGUCGCUAAUACCGCGUAGAAUCGGAAGAUGAAAGUGCGGGACCGAAAGGCCGCAUGCCAUGAGAUGAGCCCAAGUGGGAUUAGGUAGUUGGUGGGGUAAGGGCCUACCAAGCCUGCGAUCUCUAGCUGGUCUGAGAGG
This 304-nucleotide ribosomal RNA is filed under the name Haemophilus haemolyticus. RNAcentral describes it as "partial 16S ribosomal RNA". It matches the Rfam family "Bacterial small subunit ribosomal RNA", at positions 1 to 299 of the family's 1533-position model. Lineage: Bacteria; Pseudomonadati; Pseudomonadota; Gammaproteobacteria; Pasteurellales; Pasteurellaceae. The record is from RNAcentral.